GCACUGGUGGUUCAGUGGUAAAAUUCUCGUCUUCCAUGCAGGAGGCCCAGGUUUGAUUGCUGGCCAAUGCA
This 71-nucleotide transfer RNA is filed under the name Loxodonta africana (African savanna elephant). It matches the Rfam family "tRNA". From Rfam's summary of the family: Transfer RNA (tRNA) molecules are approximately 80 nucleotides in length. Lineage: Eukaryota; Metazoa; Chordata; Mammalia; Proboscidea; Elephantidae. The record is from Rfam by way of RNAcentral.